This 487-nucleotide ribosomal RNA is filed under the name uncultured bacterium. RNAcentral's name for it is "bacterial SSU rRNA". It matches the Rfam family "Bacterial small subunit ribosomal RNA", at positions 391 to 891 of the family's 1533-position model. The record is from RNAcentral.
GCCACGCCGCGUGGGUGAUGAAGGCCUUCGGGUUGUAAAGCCCUGUCGGGAGGGACGGAAUACUGACGGUACCUCCCAAGAAAGCACCGGCUAACUCCGUGCCAGCAGCCGCGGUAAUACGGAGGGUGCAAGCGUUGCUCGGAAUUACUGGGCGUAAAGCGUACGCAGGCGGUCUGAUAAGUCGGGUGUGAAAGCCCCAGGCUCAACCUGGGAACUGCAUCCGAAACUGCCAGACUUGAGUUCGGGAGAGGGGAAGUGGAAUUCCUGGUGUAGAGGUGAAAUUCGUUGAUAUCAGGAGGAACACCGGCGGCGAAAGCGGCUUCCUGGCCCGAUACUGACGCUCAUGUACGAAAGCGUGGGGAGCAAACAGGAUUAGAUACCCUGGUAGUCCACGCCGUAAACGAUGAGUGCUAGAUGUUGGAGGUAUUCACCCCUUCAGUGUCGAAGCUAACGCAUUAAGCACUCCGCCUGGGGAGUACGGCCGCAA